UGUUGCUGAAACUAUGAGGUUGUCCU
Molecule: non-coding RNA, 26 nt
Filed under: Homo sapiens (human)
Lineage: Eukaryota; Metazoa; Chordata; Mammalia; Primates; Hominidae
Source: RNAcentral